RNAcentral lists this ribosomal RNA (1450 nucleotides) under Staphylococcus sp. Its description in RNAcentral is "bacterial SSU rRNA". It matches the Rfam family "Bacterial small subunit ribosomal RNA". The record is from RNAcentral. Lineage: Bacteria; Bacillati; Bacillota; Bacilli; Caryophanales; Staphylococcaceae.
CACAUCGCGCUAUAAUGCAGUCGAGCGACAGAUAAGGAGCUUGCUCCUUUGACGUUAGCGGCGGACGGGUGAGUAACACGUGGGUAACCUACCUAUAAGACUGGGAUAACUUCGGGAAACCGGAGCUAAUACCGGAUAACAUUUGGAACCGCAUGGUUCUAAAGUGAAAGAUGGUUUUGCUAUCACUUAUAGAUGGACCCGCGCCGUAUUAGCUAGUUGGUAAGGUAACGGCUUACCAAGGCGACGAUACGUAGCCGACCUGAGAGGGUGAUCGGCCACACUGGAACUGAGACACGGUCCAGACUCCUACGGGAGGCAGCAGUAGGGAAUCUUCCGCAAUGGGCGAAAGCCUGACGGAGCAACGCCGCGUGAGUGAUGAAGGGUUUCGGCUCGUAAAACUCUGUUAUUAGGGAAGAACAAAUGUGUAAGUAACUGUGCACGUCUUGACGGUACCUAAUCAGAAAGCCACGGCUAACUACGUGCCAGCAGCCGCGGUAAUACGUAGGUGGCAAGCGUUAUCCGGAAUUAUUGGGCGUAAAGCGCGCGUAGGCGGUUUCUUAAGUCUGAUGUGAAAGCCCACGGCUCAACCGUGGAGGGUCAUUGGAAACUGGGAAACUUGAGUACAGAAGAGGAAAGUGGAAUUCCAUGUGUAGCGGUGAAAUGCGCAGAGAUAUGGAGGAACACCAGUGGCGAAGGCGACUUUCUGGUCUGUAACUGACGCUGAUGUGCGAAAGCGUGGGGAUCAAACAGGAUUAGAUACCCUGGUAGUCCACGCCGUAAACGAUGAGUGCUAAGUGUUAGGGGGUUUCCGCCCCUUAGUGCUGCAGCUAACGCAUUAAGCACUCCGCCUGGGGAGUACGACCGCAAGGUUGAAACUCAAAGGAAUUGACGGGGACCCGCACAAGCGGUGGAGCAUGUGGUUUAAUUCGAAGCAACGCGAAGAACCUUACCAAAUCUUGACAUCCUUUGAAAACUCUAGAGAUAGAGCCUUCCCCUUCGGGGGACAAAGUGACAGGUGGUGCAUGGUUGUCGUCAGCUCGUGUCGUGAGAUGUUGGGUUAAGUCCCGCAACGAGCGCAACCCUUAAGCUUAGUUGCCAUCAUUAAGUUGGGCACUCUAGGUUGACUGCCGGUGACAAACCGGAGGAAGGUGGGGAUGACGUCAAAUCAUCAUGCCCCUUAUGAUUUGGGCUACACACGUGCUACAAUGGACAAUACAAAGGGCAGCUAAACCGCGAGGUCAUGCAAAUCCCAUAAAGUUGUUCUCAGUUCGGAUUGUAGUCUGCAACUCGACUACAUGAAGCUGGAAUCGCUAGUAAUCGUAGAUCAGCAUGCUACGGUGAAUACGUUCCCGGGUCUUGUACACACCGCCCGUCACACCACGAGAGUUUGUAACACCCGAAGCCGGUGGAGUAACCAUUUAUGGAGCUAGCCGUCGAAGUGAUCAAAGUU